This 5008-nucleotide long non-coding RNA is filed under the name Homo sapiens (human). RNAcentral describes it as "HSALNT0052190". The record is from RNAcentral. Lineage: Eukaryota; Metazoa; Chordata; Mammalia; Primates; Hominidae.
AAUAGAAAAACAAUGAGGAAAAAAAAUCAAUGAAACCAAGAGUUUGUUUUUUGAAAAAAUUAACAAAACUGACAAAUCGUUAGCUAGAUUACAUAAGAAAAAAAAGAGAUAAUCAAAUAACUAAAAUUAGAAACGAAAGGGGACAUUAUAAUUGAUGUCACAGAAAUAAAGAUUAUAAAAGACUUACAUGACCACACAUAUGGCAACAGAUUAGAUAACCUAGAAGAAAUGAAUACAUUCCAAACAUAUAAUCUACCAAGACUGAAUCAUGAAUAAAAAAUCUCAACAGCCCUAUAACAAAUAAGAAGAUGAAACAGUAAUCAAAAACUUCCCAACAAAGAAAAGCCCAGUACCAGAUGGCUUCACUUGAAAAUUCUACCAAAUAAUCAAAGAAGAAUUAACUCUUCAAACUCUUACCAAAAAAUGAGGGGCAGGGAACACUUCCAGAAUCAUUCUAUGAAGCCAGCAUUUCUCUGAUACAAAAACUAGAAGACAGAACAAGAGGACUACAGAACAAUACCCGUGAUAAAGACUGAUGCAAAAAAUCCCCCCAAAAAUACUGGCAAACUCAAUUCAAUAGCACUUUUUUUUUUUAAGAGAGGGUCUCAUUUUGUUGCCCACACUGGAGUGCAGUGGCAUGACAAUGGCUCACUGCAGCCUCAACCUCCCAGGCUCAAGUGAUCCUCCCACCUCAGCACACCCACCCUCCUCCUUAAUACCCCACAACCCCUGCCCCAAGUAGCUAGUACUACAACUGUGUGCCUCCACACCUGGCUAAUUUUAAAAUUUCUUCUAGAGACAAGGUUUUACCAUAUUGUCCAGGAUGGUCUUAAACUCCUGGCCGCAAGCGAUUCUCCUGCAUUGGCCUCCCAAAGUGCUGGGAUUACAGGCAGGAGCCACCAUGCCUGACCCAACAGCACAUUAAAAGGAUUACACACAAUAAGCAAAUGGGAUUUAUACUUGAAAUGCAAGGAUGUUUCCAAAUAUGAAAACAAAUCAUUGUACUACACUAUAUUAACAAAAUGAAGGGCAAAAAACACAUUAUCAUCUCAAUUGAUGUGCAAAAAGCAUUUGACAAAAUUCAACACACUUUCCUGAUAAAAACACAUAACAAACUAGAAAUAGAAAGAAAACACCUCAAUAUAAUAAAAGCAAUACACACAAAGCCAACAGCUAACAGCACAUAUACUGGUGAAAGACUAAAAACUUUUCCUCUAAGAUCAGGAGGAACAAGGCAAGGAUGCCCAAUAUUAUCAAUAUUCAAGAUAGUAUUAGAAGUCCUAGUCAGAGCAAUUAAGACAAGAAAAGGAAAUAAAAGGCAUAGAAAUUGGAAAAGAAGUAGAAUUAUGCUCACAAAUGGCAUAAUCUUAUAGUAGAUAACCCAAAAGAUUCCACAGAAAAACUAUUACAACUAAUAAAUGAUUUCAGCAAGUUGCAGGAUACAAAAAUUGGUUAUGUUUUCAUGCAGUAACCAUGACCAAUCAAAAAAGGAAAUUAUGAAAACAAUCCCAUUUACUAUAGCAUCAAAAAGGAUAAACUACCACAGAGUAAACUUAACCAAAGAGGUGAGAAUAAUGUCAAAAUACAAAACAUUGUUAAAAGAAAUGAAAAAAAGAUACCAAUAAAUGGAAGGGCAUUCCAUUCUCAUGGAUUUAAAAGCUUAAAAUAUUGUUAAAAUGUCCAAACUAUCCAAAGUGAUCUACAGAUUCAAUGCCAUUCCUACCAAAAUCCCAAUGGUAUUUUUUGCAGAAAUACAAAAAAAAAUCUAAAAUUCAUAUGGAAUCUCAAGAGGACCCAUAGAGCUAAAUCAGUCUUUAAUCAGAAGAAUAAAGCUAAAGGCCUCACACCUCCUGAUUUCAAAACCUGAUUUUACUACAGAACAACAGAAAUCUAAAACAGUGUGGCACUGGCAUACAGACAGAAGAGAGAGCACAGAAAUAAACCCUUACAUAAAAGGCCAAAUGAUUUUUCACAAGAAUGCCAAGACUACACAGUGGGGAAAGGACAGUCUCUUCAACAAAUGGUGCUGGGAAAACUGGAUAACAAGCAAAAGAAUGAAGUUGGACUCUCAUGCCACAUACAAAAAUUAACAUAGAUUAAAGACCUAAAAGUAAUACCUAAAACUCUGAAACUCCUAGAAGGAAACAUAAAGGAAAACCUUUGAGACACUGGAUUUGGCAAUGAUUUCAUGGAUAUGGCACCAAAAUCACAGGCAACAAAAGCAAAAAUAGACAAACAGGACACCAAACUUAAGAAUUUCUGUGCACCAAAGAAAACAACUGACAGAGUGAAAAGGCAGCGUAUGGAAUGGAGAAAAUAUCUGUAAACCAUCAAAUGGUUAAUAUCCAAAAUAGAUAAGGAGCUUCUAUAACUCGACAAUAACAAAAUAACCCCAUUCAAAUGGAUAAAGGAUUUCAAUAGACAAUUCUCCAAAUAAGAUAUGCAAAUGGUCAACAGCAUAUGAAAAGAUAAUCAACAUUACUAAUAAGAGAAAUGAAAAUCAAAACCACAAUAAGAUAUCACCUCACACCUAUUAAGACAGCCAUCAGAAAAUAACUGUUGGUAAGGAUGUGGAGAAACUGGAACAUUUCUACACUGUUGGUGAGAAUAUAAAAUGCUAGAAAAAUGCUACAGCCAUUAUGGAAAUAGUGUGGAGGUUCCUCAAAAAAUUAAAAAUAGAAUUACUAUAUGAUCCAGCAAUCCCACUUUUGGGUAUAUAUCCAAAAGAAUUCAAAGCAAAAUCUCAAAGAGAUAUUUGCACACCCAUGUUCAUCACGGUAUUAUUCAUAAUAGCCAAAAGGCGAGGCAACCCAAAUGUUCACUGGUGUAUGAAUGGAUUUUUAAAAUGCGUAUAUAGAUACAAUGGAGUAUUAUGCAGCCUCAAAAAACAUGGAAAUCUUGUCAUGUGCUAUAACAUGGAUGAACCUCAAGGAUAUUAUGCUAAACAAAAUAAGCCAGUCACAAAGGACAAAUACUGUAUGAUUACAAUCAUAUAAAGUAUCCACAGUAAUCAAAAUCAUAGAAACAGAAAGUAGAAAGGUGGUUAACCAAGGGCUGGGGGGAGAGGGAAUUAGUGUUUAGUAGAUAUAGUUUCAGUUUGGGAAAAUGAAAUACUUCUAGAGAUCUGUUGCUUAACAAUGUAAAUAUAUUUAACACUACCGAACUCUACACUUAAUGGCUAAGACAGUAAAUUUAAUGUUGUAUUUUUUUACAACAAAAAAAAUUGAACAUGUGAAAUGUAGAUGACUUUGUCUAAUAUUAUUUGUAAUUUUCUCUAGGAAGAACAUAGAAAUACUGUAAAAUAAGUGUGAUGAAUGUGUGACAAUACACUUUUUUCUAAAUAUCAUAUGACAACUAUUGAGGAAAGAAAAAGAUAUACCAUUCUAUUUAAAGUCAGGAAAAGCCUUAAGGGAUACACAUUAUUUAUAGAAUACAAUGGAAGUCAUUUGCAGAUAUUUCAAAUCAACUGCCAAUUAUAAUAUCAAACAACUUAUAAAACCUAGGGCAUGGUGCCAUAGGCCUGUCGUCCCAGCUACUCUGGAGUCUGAGACCGGAGGAUCAAUCCCCUGAGCCCAGGAAUUUGAGACCAGCCUGGGUGAUAGCAAGCCUCCAUCACAAAAAUAAAUAAAUAAAUAAAUAGAUAAAAAACAAACAAAAAUCCUUAAUAUAAACCCUUAAACUUGGACGUUUCAAUGAGUAAAUAAGUCUAUAAUUACUAUACUAAAAAUAAUUGGUGUUAAUCUUUUAUUGCUCUAGUUUUUAUAGAAAAUUUAUAUUAGUAAAGAUAAUCAAGUAUGUUUAAAUUAGUAGUUUAUCAAAAUGGCACUGUUUAGUGGGCAUUACAAAGGAGUAUAUAUAAAACAUGAGCCCAUUUUUGUCAGAAAAAAAUUAUGCAUAAUAUAUGCAUGCAUAGGAAAAAAUGUGAAAUAUGCCCAACAGAAUAUCAAUAAAAAUUAUCUAUAGAGUAGAAAUACAUGCCACUUUUAUCUUUUCUACACCUUUUCUAAAUUUCUACAAUGAAUGCAUAAAGAAAUAUGUUAAAGGCUUAUUAACCCAAGUAUGUGAAAACAUAAUUAAGCUAGAAUAAAACUGAAGGUUUCUUUUCCUAGAGGCAAUGUUUACACCUAUUUAUUACUUCUGCAACCCCAACUUUCUCACUAGAGGCUAUGCAAAAACAAAAUCAAAAUACACAAAUAAGAUUGGCAGCCUUGGCAGAGUAGAAAGUAGAAAUUAACACUAGAAUCCAAUUUGUCUUUUACGUUCCCAUUCUCAACAAAUGGUAAUUUACAUUGCUCACUGGCUCACUAGUGGCAAACACAGGAGGUUCUCCCCUGAGACUUUUAUAUGUUUUUGUAACAGAAACCUGAAAUAAUAGUCUCUUUCAACUCCUGUUUGUCAGCAGAAAGUUGUCCCCUGAGCAAUGUCCAGGUCACUAAAAAUCAAAAUCUGGGGUAAGGGGAGAGAGGGCAACUUACCCAGUUAAUAUGAUGAUCCCAUCCCUAGAACAGGUAUGCAUAUUUAAUACAAACCACCUUUGGCCUUAGAAGAGAGAAGCUAAAUGAGAAACCUAUUCUGCACCUUCUCCCUUGCUGUUAUCAUCACUAUCUCUAUCUCUUAAAAAAAAUGUCACCCUGGGUAGCUCUUCAAUUUUAACACUCUUGCUGACAAUAUUCAGAAAAGAGAACAGCAAAUUGCCUUGAACAACCACAAACUAGCAAACUCCUAUCUGCAUGUUUAUAAAAGCACCUCAACUUUACAGAUCAUAAAAGAGAGUGAUGUAUAUCUGACACAUGCAGGCUAACAGAAUUAUACUCACUUUAGACCCAGAAGAGUCUUUUGAUUUUACCUCUUUUUAUUCUUAUAUGUUCACAGUAAUAAGAUAUCAUGUUCUAUAGCAAUUGCUCACAGUACUCCACAUUGAAUAAAAAUUAACAACAUGCCUUUAAAAAUAAUAAUUCACCGGCUGGGCGCGGUGGCUGACGCCUGUAAUCCCAGCACUUUGGAAGGC